GAUGAACGCUGGCGGCGUGCCUUAAGCAUGCAAGUCGAACGGAAAAGUUAAUCUCGCAAGAGAAAAAUAGAUCAGUGGCGGACGGGUGAGUAGAAGCAGGGAACGUACCCUUUACUGUGGGACAGCUCGUCGAAAGACGGGGUAAUACCGCAUGAGGUCGAAAGAUCAAAGACGCAAGUCGGUGAAGGAGCGGCCCUGCACCUAUCAGCUAGUUGGUGGGGUAAAGGCCUACCAAGGCUACGACGGGUAGGGGGUGUGAGAGCAUGACCCCCCACAAUGGCACUGAGACACGGGCCAUACAUCUACGGAUGGCAGCAACUGGGAAUAUUCGGCAAUGGACGAAAGUCUGACCGAGCGACGCCGCGUGAGGGAUGAAGUAUUUCGGUAUGUAAACCUCUUUUGCCAUGGUCGACAGGCUAUGGCGAAUAAGCACCUACAAACUACGUGCCAGCAGUCGCGGUAAUACGUAGGGUGCAAGCGUUAUCCGGAUUCACUGGGCGUAAAGUGCCGUGUAGGCGGUUUACCGCAUCGUAUCUGAAAGACCGAGGCUCAACCUCGGCAUUGGAUACGAGAUGGGUAUGACUUCUGAGGAUUGGAGAGGAAAGGGGAACUCAUGGUGAAGCAGUGAAAUGCGUUGAUAUCAUGAGGAACACCAAAGGCGAAGGCACCUUUCUGGCCAAUAUCUGACGCUGAGACACGAAAGCUAGGGGAGCGAAGCAGAUUAGAGACCUGCGUAGUCCUAGCCCUAAACGCAUGUCUGCUAGUUACCCUCCGUAAGGGGGGCGACGUAAGCUAACGCGUUAAGCAGACCGCCUGGGGACUACGAGCGCAAGCUUAAAACUCAAAGGAAUUGACGGGGACCCGCACAACCAGUGGAGCGUGUGGUUCAAUUCGAGACAAAGCGAAGGACCUCACCAGGGUUUGACAUGUUACCGUUUUAACCACCCAGAAAUGGGAGGCUAUCCGCAAGGAUGGUAGCACAGCUGCUGCAUGGCUGUCGUCAGCUCGUGCCGUGGGGUGUUCCCUUAAGUGGGACAACGAGCGCAACCCCUAUCCAAUGUUACAAGUGUCAUUGGAGACCGCCCCCUCUCUUAGUAAAUGAGAAAUCGUCUAUUGAGAGAGGGGGAGGAAGGAAGGGACGACGUCAAGUCAGCACGGCGCUUAUGCCCUGGGCAACACACACCCUACAAUGGCGAAAAACAACGAGAUGCAAGGUAGUAAUGCCAAGCUAACCUCUGAAAUUUCGCCUCAAUUCAGAUUGAGGUCUGCAACUCGACCUCAUGAAGUUGGAAUUGGUAGUAAUCGCGGAACAGCAGGCCGCGGUGAAUACGUUCUCGGGUCUUGUACACACCGCCCGUCAAGCCACCAAAGUUGGGAGUACCCGAAGGCUCGUUAUGCGAGUCGAAGGUAAGUUCAGCGAUGGGG
RNAcentral lists this ribosomal RNA (1425 nucleotides) under uncultured bacterium. RNAcentral describes it as "16S ribosomal RNA". It matches the Rfam family "Bacterial small subunit ribosomal RNA". The record is from RNAcentral.